UACGUAGGGACCAAGCGUUGUCCGGAUUUAUUGGGCGUAAAGAGCUCGUAGGCGGCUCGUUGCGUCGGCUGUGAAAACCCGCAGCUCAACUGUGGGCUUGCAGCUGAUACGGGCGGGCUGGGAUUCGGUAGGGGAGACUGGAAUUCCUGGCGUAGCGGUGAAAUGCGCAGAUAUCAGGAGGAACACCGGUGGCGAAGGCGGGUCUCUGGGCCGAUAUCGACGCUGAGGAGCGAAAGCGUGGGGAGCGAACAGG
RNAcentral lists this ribosomal RNA (253 nucleotides) under uncultured bacterium. RNAcentral's name for it is "partial 16S ribosomal RNA". It matches the Rfam family "Bacterial small subunit ribosomal RNA", at positions 524 to 776 of the family's 1533-position model. The record is from RNAcentral.